GGGGAGAGUGCUGGAUCUAGGGCUGUGUCCCACACCGCCCUGGGCUCCGGGGUCUGUGCUGCUGGGAUUGCCCUCCUGGGGCCGUGCAGCCCCCU
This 95-nucleotide microRNA precursor is filed under the name Canis lupus familiaris (dog). RNAcentral describes it as "mir-8799 microRNA precursor family". It matches the Rfam family "mir-8799 microRNA precursor family". Lineage: Eukaryota; Metazoa; Chordata; Mammalia; Carnivora; Canidae. The record is from Rfam by way of RNAcentral.